GACGAACGCUGGCGGCGUGCUUAACACAUGCAAGUCGAACGGAAAGGCCCUGCUUUUGUGGGGUGCUCGAGUGGCGAACGGGUGAGUAACACGUGAGUAACCUGCCCUUGACUUUGGGAUAACUUCAGGAAACUGGGGCUAAUACCGGAUAGGAGCUCCUGCUGCAUGGUGGGGGUUGGAAAGUUUCGGCGGUGGGGGAUGGACUCGCGGCUUAUCAGCUUGUUGGUGGGGUAGUGGCUUACCAAGGCUUUGACGGGUAGCCGGCCUGAGAGGGUGACCGGCCACAUUGGGACUGAGAUACGGCCCAGACUCCUACGGGAGGCAGCAGUGGGGAAUAUUGCACAAUGGUCGGAAGCCUGAUGCAGCAACGCCGCGUGCGGGAUGACGGCCUUCGGGUUGUAAACCGCUUUCGCCUGUGACGAAGCGUGAGUGACGGUAAUGGGUAAAGAAGCACCGGCUAACUACGUG
RNAcentral lists this ribosomal RNA (468 nucleotides) under uncultured bacterium. Its description in RNAcentral is "partial 16S ribosomal RNA". It matches the Rfam family "Bacterial small subunit ribosomal RNA", at positions 28 to 507 of the family's 1533-position model. The record is from RNAcentral.